Molecule: non-coding RNA, 54 nt
Organism: Salmo salar (Atlantic salmon)
Lineage: Eukaryota; Metazoa; Chordata; Actinopteri; Salmoniformes; Salmonidae
Source: Rfam
AGUGUAUAGGAGAGUAAGUCGCUCUGGAUAAGAGCGUCUGCUAAAUGAUGUAAA